This 511-nucleotide ribosomal RNA is filed under the name uncultured bacterium. RNAcentral describes it as "bacterial SSU rRNA". It matches the Rfam family "Bacterial small subunit ribosomal RNA", at positions 1 to 525 of the family's 1533-position model. The record is from RNAcentral.
GACAGAGUUUGAUCAUGGCUCAGGACGAACGCUGGCGGCGUGCUUAACACAUGCAAGUCGAACGGUGACCCUCGGAGCUUGCUCCGAGGUGAUCAGUGGCGAACGGGUGAGUAACACGUGAGUAACCUGCCCCAGACUCUGGAAUAACCCCGGGAAACCGGAGCUAAUACCGGAUACGAGACGGAGCCGCAUGGCUACCGUCUGGAAAGUUUUUCGGUCUGGGAUGGACUCGCGGCCUAUCAGCUUGUUGGUGAGGUAGUGGCUCACCAAGGCGACGACGGGUAGCCGGCCUGAGAGGGCGACCGGCCACACUGGGACUGAGACACGGCCCAGACUCCUACGGGAGGCAGCAGUGGGGAAUAUUGCGCAAUGGGCGAAAGCCUGACGCAGCGACGCCGCGUGAGGGAUGAAGGCCUUCGGGUUGUAAACCUCUUUCAGCAGGGAAGAAGCGAAAGUGACGGUACCUGCAGAAGAAGCACCGGCUAACUACGUGCCAGCAGCCGCGGUAAUA